Molecule: ribosomal RNA, 422 nt
Filed under: uncultured bacterium
Lineage: Bacteria
Description: bacterial SSU rRNA
Rfam family: Bacterial small subunit ribosomal RNA
Source: RNAcentral
UGAGGAAUAUUGGGCAAUGCCCGCAAGGGUGACCCAGCAACGCCGCGUGGAGGAUGAAUGUCGUAAGAUUGUAAACUCCUGUUAGAGGGGAAGAAUAGUACCGGUUGGACCGGUAUAUGACUGUACCCUCAGAGAAAGCCCCGGCUAACUACGUGCCAGCAGCCGCGGUAAUACGUAGGGGGCAAGCGUUGUCCGGAUUUACUGGGUGUAAAGGGCGCGCAGGCGGGAUAAAAAGUCAGUGGUGAAAUCCUACAGCUUAACUGUAGAACGGCCUUUGAUACUGUUAUUCUUGAGUUCGGGAGAGAGAGACGGAAUUCCAGGUGGAGUGGUGAAAUACGUAGAUAUCUGGAAGAACACCAGUUGCGAAGGCGGUCUCUUGGUCCGACACUGACGCUGAGGCGCGAAAGCGUGGGGAGCAAACA